Non-coding RNA from Canis lupus familiaris (dog), 106 nucleotides. NCBI's taxonomy places the organism in Eukaryota, Metazoa, Chordata, Mammalia, Carnivora, Canidae. The record is from Rfam.
GUGCUCACUUCAGCAGUACAUAUACUAAGAUUGGAAUGAUAAAGAGAAGAAUAGCAUGGCCCCUGCCCAAGGAUGACAUGCAAAUUGUGAAGUGUUCUGUGUCUUU